GGGGGCGUAGUUCAAUCUGGUAGAAUACUUGAUUCCAGGAUAUAUGGAAAUUCCAAGUGGUUGUCCGUUCAAAUCGGAUCGUCCUCA
Molecule: transfer RNA, 87 nt
Filed under: Paracoccaceae bacterium
Lineage: Bacteria; Pseudomonadati; Pseudomonadota; Alphaproteobacteria; Rhodobacterales; Paracoccaceae
Description: Rhodobacteraceae bacterium tRNA-OTHER
Rfam family: tRNA
About the family: Transfer RNA (tRNA) molecules are approximately 80 nucleotides in length. Their secondary structure includes four short double-helical elements and three loops (D, anti-codon, and T loops).
Source: RNAcentral